AAGAAAAGUCUGGGAUUAAAAGAAACUGCUAAUUUCUCCAUCCAUGGUUCAAAUCCGUGGUUUUCUUA
Molecule: transfer RNA, 68 nt
Filed under: Urogymnus dalyensis (giant freshwater stingray)
Lineage: Eukaryota; Metazoa; Chordata; Chondrichthyes; Myliobatiformes; Dasyatidae
Description: tRNA-Ser
Source: RNAcentral